GCCACGUGUCACGUAUAAUUGCCCAUAAAUUUGGCGUUUUCGAUUCCGUAAAUAAUCACAAAAAAAUCACUCAGCUCUUACCAACGGCAAUUCCAGUACGUCAAUUCACAGUUUUCUCAGGGAACAAGAAUCGGAAAAUUAUGCCACGAUACGAGGAUGAACCUCCUGCUGUUCGAGUAUAUACCAUUUGUGAUGAAUCAAAGAAUUAAAGGUACUUGACUGCGAGGAAUGUUCCAGUACUGGGGUGUGGUGAUACUGGUGAUGAACUAAGGCAACUGUUUGCAACAUAUGGAGAAAUUGAAGAAUGAAGAGAGCAGCAGUUAUCUUAAGUAAUAUCUUCAUCCAGAUGAAAACGUUCAGACAGUCAGCUACUUCGAGCACAGCUUCCGGAACAUUAAUGCCACUUUCCAGAAGAUCCAGUUGGAGUCGUGGUAUAUAAUUGAAGGCAAGAAUCAGAAGUAUAGUGCUGAUUAUAAGCAUGCCACUGAUUACACUGCAUAUGUGCUGCCAAUCUCCUAGAACUUUACUUUUAGUCGGAGGCGAGUAUCCGAGUAGCAAUCCGUUGAAGAAGGUAGAUUGAAGGGUUCGAGAAUACCAAGCAAUUGUAAGGUAAAUAGCUAGAGCAGGCGCAAUCAAAUAGAGAUAGAGGUAGUAUAUCCAAGUGCGGAUAUAAAACUUAAGUAAAACGAGAUUGUCAUAGGCCUCACCAUGUCUAAUGAAUUGAAGUAAUCGGACAAGUAUAAAGGACAGCAAUAGACAUGGUAAGAAUACAAUUGCUAUGGGAGAAGCAAGUGCUCCCGCAACAAGACCAACACAUAUAGCACCAAUUGGAAAAAGUAACAUAAGUAGAUUGAGGAUGAUACCAUUGUAAUGCCUAUCGAUUACAUUAGCAAUGAAAGGAGUUGCCAAAAGAUAUGGUAUAAAUAGAAGAUUUAUACCACUAAUAUUGGAACGGUUUUUCAUGGUCAUGGAAAAGUACCCUAUGAAGAACGCAAUAACCCAAUGGGAAACAUGUCUUGAAAACUUCCAUCUAGUUUGGGCAACAGAUGGUGAUAUUGCUGAAUCGUAUGUUGGGAUUUCUAAAGUGGUAGCUUGAGAAAAUUGUUGCUGAGACAGCGUGGGGGUUGGUCUCGCUCGUUCGACCUCAUGAGAAAAAACAGGAUGAGAAUCAGCAAGUAAAGAUGGAUCAUAUUCCUUCAUUGUUUUUCGUUUUCUGAGAUGGCGAGUGAAGUCUUUGCACCACAAAAAGAGAAAAGACUUUAAGUUCUCAACUGGAGGUUCAUGUAAUCAUGUUAAGUUAAGAAUAGAUCAAGUCAAGUACUAAUUAAGUUAAGUUAUAAUCUUAUUAUGUAUUGCAAAUUCUCAACGUGAGGUUCAUGUUGAACAACACAUAUCCCUAUUAAAAAUUCGAAAUAUCGCCGGCAUAUUUCUACAUUUUCAGUCUGUUAA
Spinacia oleracea (spinach) is the source of this 1449-nucleotide long non-coding RNA. RefSeq lists it as uncharacterized. Lineage: Eukaryota; Viridiplantae; Streptophyta; Magnoliopsida; Caryophyllales; Amaranthaceae. The transcript is spliced from 4 exons. The record is from RefSeq and is a predicted model, not a curated record.